This is a long non-coding RNA of Myzus persicae (green peach aphid), 355 nucleotides long. RefSeq lists it as uncharacterized. The transcript has 3 exons. The record is from RefSeq and is a predicted model, not a curated record. NCBI's taxonomy places the organism in Eukaryota, Metazoa, Arthropoda, Insecta, Hemiptera, Aphididae.
AUUCAGUCAGCGGGAGUGUAUAUAAAGGCGUGCGUGAUCUCGGUUAAAGCAUAACACAUUUUUUGUGCAGAUCUAUUCUUUGUUUUCACUUUAAUCCUCAAAAAACAACCAAAAACCAAAAAUGGGCGCUGAAAAAGUAACCAUGAACAUCGUCGUCGUAGGACAAGUCCAAUCUGCCAAGGCCAUCAAGACCGUCGCCAAGGCCUCCCCAGCCACCAACCAAUUGAUGAACUGUUAAAUCAUGUAAUCCAUACAUUGCAAAACCCAAAAAUGCCAUAGCCCAAACAGUAUAAUAAUAUGUAAUUCAUAUUAUAUUGACACCGCAAAAUAAAUCAGUAAUUUCCGAUGAAUUUAA